GAUAACAUAAUUUAUAUAAAUCAUGACUUUUUUUCAUUCAAACAUAUACUAUAUGGUACAUUUAUAGGUUUUUAAGUUGUUGUUGUAACUACUCGUGUGUAUCUUAAUUAAUUAAUAUUACAUUCUGCAGAGUCUUUCAAAUUUAUUAUUUUUGCUCAAUCAGAAAUUGCAAUCAUGCAAUGCGCCAUAUAUUACUCAUAAAUCAAUUAUUCACAUUAUUCAUUUCGUUUGAGAUUUUCGUAUUUAUUUAUUUAUUUAUGUUUGGUGAACCAACAGCAUAUAAUCUUAAUUCUAAACAAAAACAAUAUAUUACAAGAAGCCAAUCACAGGUUCCAUGACAAUUACAAAUACCAGACCGAGUCUGAAACGGUUCUCCGACAAUUGCUUCGUCUACGAACGUUUCGUCGACAGAAUGUCUUCUAAUUCUGUCAUUCGUAAAACGUUCCAGACCAGUUAAAAAUGAAAUUUAAAAGUAAAAUUGGCUUAUUCAUUAUUAAUAAAUGUAUUUAUUGCGAUUAUGGCUAAUGUAAUAUUGUGCACAUUCGCUAAUGGUACUAUUGUGCAUAAUGGAAACGAAUUAAAGGGCAGAAUUUCCAUUCCGACCAACAACACCGACCAAUUGGUUGCACAUAAUGGAAUUCGAGGAUUUUCUCCGGACCUACCAACGACAUACACUUGAGAAUUUUGGUUCGACUUUUUAGUUUAACAGUAUUUGCUGGGAAAUGAAGAUAGGCGUUUCAAUAAGAAACAAUUAUUUUAAAGCGUUUAUAAUAGUAUCAUUUCAUCACAGGCCCUAAAGACUUGCCAAUUUAAGUCACAAUGUCGACACCGAAUCUUUCUUUGAGCAUCACAACAACAUCUUUCAAAUUGUACAGCCAUUUCGAAUACACAAGGCUCCCUUUUCUAUCAACUUCACUGUAAUAUAAGUUGGAGAUUUCAUCUGGCAUUUCAACUGUACCGGUUCUCAAACUCGAUUUGGGUUUAUUUGAUUGCUGUAACUUAGGAACUACGUCAUCAACUGACGAAAUAAUUAAACCAUCACGGUGUACACUAUAUCCAUUACAAUAAUGUCCUAAGAGCAAACUAAUCGACACUAUUGACAGGCACCAACUCAUCUGAAAAGACAAAAGAAUAGAAUAAAAUCUAUUUAUUUAUUUAUUAAGAAUCGUCACGAAAUGCAAAAUCAUCAAAAUUUAAUUUAAGUUAGUUAGGAAGUUUAAGUACAUAAAAAGGAAAUAAAUAGAUUGAAAGAGAGCAAGCUUUCGUUUUUCAAAUAAUCAAACGCUGGUUGCUUAGAAACAACCUACUUAUGUCGAUUAUAACUCAUGAUCAUCAGAUACAAGGUGAUGUAUUGAAAGCUAAUUAUACUACGUACAUCCAAUAUACAUUAUUUUUUACUUUGAAUUUUUAACUAAUAUUUUUUACUAAGUUUUAUAUGUUAUACAAUAUUUUAAUGUGAUUUAAUCAGUCUUAGAUGCACUAUUAAAAGAUCUAACAUAUCGAGGCGUAACGUAAAUUACGUUAAUCCCAGUUCUAGGACGUUGGUUUUAUCAAUUUGAGAUUUAAGUACAUAAAAAUUAAAAAUUCAAUCAUUCACAUAACGAAUCUAAUUACAAAACAAACAAAAAUAAAAUUGUUAAAAAAACUUUAAAUUGGCGUAAAAUAUUUUUUUAGUAUCGUACCCUCUAUUAAAUGAGUACAAAUAACGUUACCUUCUUAUUAUUUUCUUAAAGCUGGCGAUUUUCUUCAUUCAAAAUACUGACAACAAAGACUCAAAUUUUGAAAGUACAUUAUAUGACACUUGUUCCUUUCUUCCAUACAUAAGCUCUAACGACAGUGUAACAAUCAAAUUGCGGGGAUAGUUUUAUAAUCGUUGUAAUCAGUGAAAUGCAAAAUUGAUCAUUCACGCUGGUUGAUGAAAGACUAAUUGAAAAUUAUAUUGAUUCUUAUUGGAGUCGAUAGGAAAAUGGUAGGUAUCUAAAACAACUUAGUGACAUAGAAAUAAACUAUCACAUCAACUCAAUGUCUGUAAAACAAAACUGCCGUAGUUUUGGUCAUUGUUGUUAUCAUAAUCGUAACAAAAUUAUGAUCUAAGUACAACAUCAUCAAUACAUCGGAAAAUACAUUCAGGAUGUAGGUACUUGUACAAGUAUCAAUAAAAAAUGAAAUCAUCAAAAUGUUCCGGCCGGAGAUUGGUUUAUCAUUCAUCAUCAUGCAAGGUUUUGUAUUUAUUAACACAACUCUAUUCUGUUAUUACUUUAUUUUAAUUAGAAAUAUAAUUAAAUAUAUUAUGUUA
Long non-coding RNA from Plodia interpunctella (Indianmeal moth), 2296 nucleotides. RefSeq lists it as uncharacterized. NCBI's taxonomy places the organism in Eukaryota, Metazoa, Arthropoda, Insecta, Lepidoptera, Pyralidae. The transcript is spliced from 2 exons. The record is from RefSeq and is a predicted model, not a curated record.